AUUGAACGCUGGCGGCAGGCCUAGCACAUGCAAGUCGAGCGGAUGAAGGGAGCUUGCUCCUGGAUUCAGCGGCGGACGGGUGAGUAAUGCCUAGGAAUCUGCCUGGUAGUGGGGGAUAACGUCCGGAAACGGGCGCUAAUACCGCAUACGUCCUGAGGGAGAAAGUGGGGGAUCUUCGGACCUCACGCUAUCAGAUGAGCCUAGGUCGGAUUAGCUAGUUGGUGGGGUAAAGGCCUACCAAGGCGACGAUCCGUAACUGGUCUGAGAGGAUGAUCAGUCACACUGGAACUGAGACACGGUCCAGACUCCUAUGGGAGGCAGCAGUGGGGAAUAUUGGACAAUGGGCGAAAGCCUGAUCCAGCCAUGCCGCGUGUGUGAAGAAGGUCUUCGGAUUGUAAAGCACUUUAAGUUGGGAGGAAGGGCAGUAAGUUAAUACCUUGCUGUUUUGACGUUACCAACAGAAUAAGCACCGGCUAACUUCGUG
RNAcentral lists this ribosomal RNA (484 nucleotides) under uncultured bacterium. RNAcentral's name for it is "partial 16S ribosomal RNA". It matches the Rfam family "Bacterial small subunit ribosomal RNA", at positions 30 to 507 of the family's 1533-position model. The record is from RNAcentral.